This 497-nucleotide ribosomal RNA is filed under the name uncultured bacterium. Its description in RNAcentral is "partial 16S ribosomal RNA". It matches the Rfam family "Bacterial small subunit ribosomal RNA", at positions 28 to 507 of the family's 1533-position model. The record is from RNAcentral.
GAUGAACGCUGGCGGCGUGCCUAAUACAUGCAAGUCGAGCGAACGGACGAGAAGCUUGCUUCUCUGAUGUUAGCGGCGGACGGGUGAGUAACACGUGGAUAACCUACCUAUAAGACUGGGAUAACUUCGGGAAACCGGAGCUAAUACCGGAUAAUAUUUUGAAUCGCAUGGUUCAAAAGUGAAAGACGGUCUUGCUGUCACUUAUAGAUGGAUCCGCGCUGCAUUAGCUAGUUGGUAAGGUAACGGCUUACCAAGGCAACGAUGCAUAGCCGACCUGAGAGGGUGAUCGGCCACACUGGAACUGGGACACGGUCCAGACUCCUACGGGAGGCAGCAGUAGGGAAUCUUCCGCAAUGGGCGAAAGCCUGACGGAGCAACGCCGCGUGAGUGAUGAAGGUCUUCGGAUCGUAAAACUCUGUUAUUAGGGAAGAACAUAUGUGUAAGUAACUGUGCACAUCUUGACGGUACCUAAUCAGAAAGCCACGGCUAACUACGUG